RNAcentral lists this ribosomal RNA (253 nucleotides) under uncultured bacterium. Its description in RNAcentral is "partial 16S ribosomal RNA". It matches the Rfam family "Bacterial small subunit ribosomal RNA", at positions 524 to 776 of the family's 1533-position model. The record is from RNAcentral.
UACGAAGGGGGCUAGCGUUGCUCGGAAUUACUGGGCGUAAAGCGCACGUAGGCGGUCUUUUAAGUCGGGGGUGAAAUCCUGGAGCUCAACUCCAGAACUGCCUUCGAUACUGGAAGACUCGAGUCCGGGAGAGGUGAGUGGAACUGCGAGUGUAGAGGUGAAAUUCGUAGAUAUUCGCAAGAACACCAGUGGCGAAGGCGGCUCACUGGCCCGGUACUGACGCUGAGGUGCGAAAGCAUGGGGAGCGAACAGG